RNAcentral lists this ribosomal RNA (256 nucleotides) under uncultured Proteiniphilum sp. RNAcentral's name for it is "partial 16S ribosomal RNA". It matches the Rfam family "Bacterial small subunit ribosomal RNA", at positions 1127 to 1382 of the family's 1533-position model. Lineage: Bacteria; Pseudomonadati; Bacteroidota; Bacteroidia; Bacteroidales; Dysgonomonadaceae. The record is from RNAcentral.
AAGGCUGGGGACUCUAAUGAGACUGCCAUCGUAAGAUGUGAGGAAGGUGGGGAUGACGUCAAAUCAGCACGGCCCUUACGUCCGGGGCGACACACGUGUUACAAUGGGUGGUACAAAGGGCAGCUACCUGGCGACAGGAUGCUAAUCUCCAAAACCACUCUCAGUUCGGAUCGGAGUCUGCAACUCGACUCCGUGAAGCUGGAUUCGCUAGUAAUCGCGCAUCAGCCACGGCGCGGUGAAUACGUUCCCGGGCCUU